ACAUGGCGCGGCGGAGCUUCCGCGGGGCCGAGCGGGGAGUGAGCUCAGGAGUGGGCUCCCGAUAAGAGGAUGAAUUCAGCCCUCCUUCCUUUUCUUUCAUGUGUUCUCUUGCCCUUCCACCCUCCGCCAUGGGAUGACACACCAAGAAGGCCUUCACCAGAUGUGGGGCCCUUGACCUUGGACUUCCCAGCCUCCAGAACUAAGGAGAAACCAACUCCAAGUUCUUAUUGGAAUAUUUACAGGGUACUGGAGGGGCUCACAGUAUUAAGGAGAAGACUCCGGCAGCCUCUGAAAGAAAGAAAACUAGGGAAGCUCUGGAAACACCAAUAAACAACCUCUGUCUAGG
This 346-nucleotide non-coding RNA is filed under the name Pan troglodytes (chimpanzee). Lineage: Eukaryota; Metazoa; Chordata; Mammalia; Primates; Hominidae. The record is from RNAcentral.